This 492-nucleotide ribosomal RNA is filed under the name uncultured bacterium. RNAcentral describes it as "partial 16S ribosomal RNA". It matches the Rfam family "Bacterial small subunit ribosomal RNA", at positions 29 to 507 of the family's 1533-position model. The record is from RNAcentral.
AGUGAACGCUGGCGGCAGGCCUAACACAUGCAAGUCGAACGGCCGCACAGUAAGCUCUUGCUCUUACUGUUGGCGGGUGGCGGACGGGUGAGGAAUACAUCGGCAUCUACUUUUUCGUGGAUGACAUCGUAGAGAAACUUACGCUACUACCGCAUACGUCCUACCGCUGAAAUCAGGAGAUCCUCACAGCUUGCCUGAUUCAAUUAGCCGAAGUCGCAUUAGCUAGUUGGCUGGGUAAGGGCACACCAAGGCAACGAUGCGUAGCAGGUCUGAGAGGAUGAUCAGCCACACUGGAACUGAGACACGGUCCAGACUCCUACGGGAGGCAGCAGUGGGGAAUAUUGCGCAAUGGGCGCAAGCCUGACCCAGCAAUGCCGCGUGAGUGAAGAAGGUCUUCGGGUCGUAAAGCCCUGUUAUUAGGAAAGAAAAGCAGUAGGUGAAUCCGUCGCUGUUCUGACGGUACCCAAAGAGUAAGCCACGGCUAACUUCGUG